Molecule: long non-coding RNA, 359 nt
Organism: Capsella rubella
Lineage: Eukaryota; Viridiplantae; Streptophyta; Magnoliopsida; Brassicales; Brassicaceae
Exons: 3
Source: RefSeq, a predicted model, not a curated record
UGUAAAGGUCUCGGUCCGCACAAACACGCCUCUGGACAGAAGUCUUACCGACAAAUUGAACAAGAAAUGGUUGUUGAACUGGGGAGACCAGUGAGUUUCGGUGAGGUGUUCAUCAAGGCUAAUACCAAGAAAGAUGGGACGUUUGUUGAUCUGAAAGCAAAGCAAGUUGCUAAGGCCUAUACGAAGAAAAAACAAGAGAAGUUGACUGAUCUUGAGUCUAAUAUCACAGACCUUUCGGAUGGUCGUAUUCCUGUGCUAAUAGUAGAAUAAGAUAACGACCUCUUUAUUCAGUCCACAUUCACAAAUGAUAGAGGAGCACUGUUUGGUAUUGGAAGCCUCAAGAGUAUGCUCAAGGGAAA